Non-coding RNA from Acanthosepion pharaonis, 97 nucleotides. Lineage: Eukaryota; Metazoa; Mollusca; Cephalopoda; Sepiida; Sepiidae. The record is from the annotation of a GenBank genome assembly.
GUUGAAACACUGGUUUCUAUAUGAUCCUUGAAGUUAAGCAAUGUCAAGCCUGGUCAGUACCUAGGUGGGUGACCACCUGGGAUUAUAAGGUGGUGUA